CUCAUCCGUGAGUCGGCCUCAACGGCCUUUGAUCACCUCUGCGUCUAAUUAAAGCAGUGCACGACAAAAGGAAAAGUAAUUAAUCGCGAAUGUGUUCUUUUAACAAAUGAAUGAGCUUUGAGCUGGUUUACUGUACCAGAUGUUUAUAAUAAUUAUGUAUAUAUACGCAAGCAUUUUAUUGAAGUGAAAUUCCUCAACUUAAGUCCAAAAGGGAGUUAACUUUCAAUAGUUUUAGACCCAAUUCUCAACGGUGAAAAUAUGUAAUUUUGACAAGCAAUUUUUAUCGGACUCGUACUUGCUCAUUUUCUCUCAAUAUUGG
Molecule: non-coding RNA, 319 nt
Organism: Paramuricea clavata
Lineage: Eukaryota; Metazoa; Cnidaria; Anthozoa; Malacalcyonacea; Plexauridae
Source: the annotation of a GenBank genome assembly